Molecule: ribosomal RNA, 301 nt
Filed under: uncultured bacterium
Lineage: Bacteria
Description: partial 16S ribosomal RNA
Rfam family: Bacterial small subunit ribosomal RNA
Source: RNAcentral
CAGUAGCCGCGGUAAUACGUAGGUGGCAAGCGUUGUCCGGAAUUAUUGGGCGUAAAGGGCUCGCAGGCGGUUUCUUAAGUCUGAUGUGAAAGCCCCCGGCUCAACCGGGGAGGGUCAUUGGAAACUGGGAAACUUGAGUGCAGAAGAGGAGAGUGGAAUUCCACGUGUAGCGGUGAAAUGCGUAGAGAUGUGGAGAAACACCAGUGGCGAAGGCGACUCUCUGGUCUGUAACUGACGCUGAGGAGCGAAAGCGUGGGGAGCGAACAGGAUUAGAUACCCCGGUAGUCCCUGUCUCUUAUAC